GGCGAACGGGUGAGCAACACGUGGGUGAUCUGCCUCUGAGUGGGGGAUAACGCUCCGAAAGGAGCGCUAAUACCGCAUGACGUUCCGGGUUCGAAGACCUGGAAACCAAAGCCGGGGACCGCAAGGCCUGGCGCUUGGAGAGGAGCCCGCGCCUGAUUAGCUAGUUGGCGGGGUAAUGGCCCACCAAGGCGACGAUCAGUAGCCGGCCUGAGAGGGCGGACGGCCACACUGGGACUGAGACACGGCCCAGACUCCUACGGGAGGCAGCAGUGGGGAAUUGUUCGCAAUGGGCGCAAGCCUGACGACGCAACGCCGCGUGGAGGAUGAAGGUCUUCGGAUUGUAAACUCCUGUUGAUCGGGACGAAUGGCUCCGACCUAACACGUCGGAGAAUGACGGUACCGGUUGAGGAAGCCACGGCUAACUCUGUGCCAGCAGCCGCGGUAAUACAGAGGUGGCAAGCGUUGUUCGGAAUUACUGGGCGUAAAGGGCGCGUAGGCGGCCUUCUAAGUCGGACGUGAAAGCCCCAGGCUCAACCUGGGAACUGCGUCCGAUACUGGGAGGCUUGGAUUCGGGAGAGGGAUGUGGAAUUCCAGGUGUAGCGGUGAAAUGCGUAGAUAUCUGGAGGAACAC
RNAcentral lists this ribosomal RNA (631 nucleotides) under uncultured bacterium. RNAcentral describes it as "bacterial SSU rRNA". It matches the Rfam family "Bacterial small subunit ribosomal RNA", at positions 97 to 709 of the family's 1533-position model. The record is from RNAcentral.